This is a non-coding RNA of Clathrospora elynae, 139 nucleotides long. The record is from the annotation of a GenBank genome assembly. NCBI's taxonomy places the organism in Eukaryota, Fungi, Ascomycota, Dothideomycetes, Pleosporales, Diademaceae.
GGGCACUUGGUCUAGGGGUAUGAUUUGUAAGACUCUCCAAUACUCUAUACGUAUAAGCAGAUUCUAACAGUAGUAAAGUCGCUUCGCAUUAUCCAGAAAUGUCUGUGAAAGGUCGUGGGUUCAAUUCCCACAGUGUCCA